GGGCAACCGACUCAGCAGUCAGCGCACACCGCCGCCGGCUCUUGUAACCCGCAAUGGCGAGGCCUUCACGCCAAACCCUGGCCCUGCCGUCCGCGACCUCCCUCCGCCGCCUGUACGGCAACUCGAAGCCGCCUCCUCCCCCGGCCUCGGCGUUCCGGAGAGCCGCGUCGGUGCUCCUCCUCGCCGCGGCCGUGGCGCUGCCCUGCGCCGUGCUGUACCGAGCCGUCGUGUCGAAUGCGCCUCCGCCGGUGCAGGUCGUGUGGGAUCGCUGGCCCUCGAGGGAGUGGGGCCCGCCACGAGCUCCGGUUGUGGUCCCCGAGGCCGAGGAGGACCGCGACCUCGACCACAUUUCCGCCGACGAUCUGGACAGUGAAUAUCUCAAACUUGAGCAAGUUCUACAAGCGGCUUCUAUGGACAAUAAGACCAUUAUAUUGACGACGCUUAAUGCUGCAUGGUCUUCUCCAGGCUCAGUUAUAGAUCUUUUCAUUGAUAGCUUCCGGCAUGGUGUUAGAACUAGUUCACUACUGAAACACCUUGUGAUAAUAGCCUUCGACAGGAAAGCAUAUAGACGAUGUACUGAGAUCCAUACCUACUGUUAUGCUCUUGUAACCGGUAAUGUGGACUUUUCUCAAGAGAAGAGGUUUCUGACUGCUGGGUAUCUGGAGAUGAUGUGGAAAAGGCUGGAUUUCUUGCGCCUAGUUCUUGAAAAAGGUUACAGCUUCAUUUUCUCGGAUGCAGAUAUAAUGUGGUUUCGCAAUCCAUUUCCAUAUUUUUAUCCGGAUGGAGAUCUUCAGGUUGCAUGUGAUCACUAUGUAGGCAAUGCAACUGACUUGAGAAACAUAGCUAAUGGGGGGUUCAACUAUGUGAAGUCGAACAAUCAAAGCAUAGAGUUUUACAAGUUUUGGUAUUCUUCACGACUGAGAUACCCUGGUUAUCAUGACCAGGAUGUACUUAAUUUUAUUAAGCAUGAUCCUUACAUUAUGGAUAUUGGAUUAACCAUUAAGUUUUUAAGUACUACAUACUUUGGUGGUAUUUGUGAGCCAAGCAAAGAUUUAAACGAGGUUUGCACAAUGCAUGCUAACUGUUGCAUUGGAUUGCAAAGCAAACUUCAUGAUUUAAGAAUCAUCAUGGAAGAUUGGAGGGAUUAUAUGUCUAUGCCACCAAGCUUAAAAACAUCUGGGGCAUUCUCAUGGAGGGUACCACAAAAUUGCAGUCUUUCAUUGUUAAACCAGUGAGACAUGUUUUUGGAUGCAAAUGGUGUGGUAUAGUCAAACAUGUCAAUUUCUGAGAAUUUUGUUGGCAACUGGAAAGAAAAAUGUACUUGAAAGGAAAAACCAGUGCAUGAGGAACUCCACCUUUUGUUUAAGAAAGACCCGGUUUAGCCAGAUUAUAUCUUGAGGACUCUGCCAGUUGAUGCCUUCAUCAGUGUUAUGCAUCCUCUACUUUGGAAAAAUAACCAACACGAAGGUGCAAGCUGUUUCUGUUCUCCAGUUUCCAUUUGACAGUGGAGCUGCAGCCUUAUGUGCAUAUUUUUUAAUUGCAUCAGUUAUGUAUACGUUCAUCUAUUUGAUAAGCACUGCGAGAGAGACAGUUGUAGAAUCAAACUGAGGGACACUAAUAGAGGCGAUCUGGACACAGGAUUGGCAGAUAAGUGACUAUACUACUUAAAUCACCUUAACUGAUGAUUUCCAGAAGCCUGACACAUAGUUUCCAGUUUCCUUGCCUUUUAGUGGAAGCCCUUUUUCUCCUCUUAUUGAUAGUCUAAAAACUAGCAUGAUGAAACUUGAUAAUUGUCGCAAUGUUCAAGAAUGAACUUUUAGAACGUGGCGGUGAAUCUUAAUUCGUGACUUGUGACAUUAUCAAUAGGGAACAUUCCAAGUUCAAGGGUUGAAGGCAUCAGCACAGCAAAAGAUGAACUGGCUAUGACUUCCCAGUGUAUCAUCCAUGACCAUGCGGAAUGACUGAAUGAGGGGUGGAAUGUUCAAUAGUGUACAGAGGGAGUAUUUCAUAUAUUACCAAAUCCUGUGAAUCAAGAGGUUCAAUACCGAGGAAGGAACUUCAGUUGAUAUCCACUAGAAAAUCGAAAUACCGAGGAAGGAAUUUUUUUUUUGACAGAACCGAGGAAGGAAUUUUAGUUACUAUCCACUAGAAAAUGGAAACCAAUUGCAAACAGAACCAGGACUACCAACAACACUGAAACUGUAAAACCAUGUGUCCUACAGGAGAUAUCAUUUGGAUGUGACACUGAACACUUUUUUUUUGUUGACAUUUGUAAAAUCCAUUUCUGGCACACAGGAGCAUGUGCUCCCUAGAGCCAAAUUGAAUAUCCGGUAAAAAAUUCUAUAUUUUGAAAUAUAAGCUCAGUAAUUUUUAUAAGCUCUGAAUGAUUAUUCUAGGAUCACCUGAAGUGAAGUGCAGGGUCCAAAAUGUAUGUUUUUCUCUACAAUGCUCAAGCGCUCAGCCACAAUCAUGAUCUCGCUAUUAUGUCAAGCAGGACAAUCCCCUACUCUGAUGAAUCUUCCGGAGCACGUCGUUGAUGGAGGUAACCUGCUACUCAUCAGGCGCACACAUCCUCCUUUCGCUUGCUCAGAUGAUGGUGUCCACUUCGAAGACAGUGAGCGAAAUCAACCACAGCACAUCAUUUCAGUUAGACAUACCUUAUCUUAUCACGAAACCGGGGUCUUAUCCGCGAUGCUCUACUCUGACAUGCUCGGAGCUCGUUGGGCUUUCUUUCAGUUGAAAUCACACCUUCUGUCCAAAGUUGCACUCAUGAUCACUUUCUUUCUGA
Molecule: RNA transcript, 2788 nt
Organism: Aegilops tauschii subsp. strangulata
Lineage: Eukaryota; Viridiplantae; Streptophyta; Magnoliopsida; Poales; Poaceae
Source: RefSeq, a predicted model, not a curated record